AGAGAGAGAGGAGGAUGGGGAAUAGAGAGAGGUUUUCUAUUUUUAUGAUAGAGACCCUGAGGACAUAGAAUGAAAGAGACCACAUCACCAAAGCUUCCUUUAAUGAAGUAUGGGCUAGAUUCCAAACUAAGUGGCACACAUGGCAAAGGCUCACACUAUUCAGGUGUGCUAUGGGGUUGCUGGAAAAGUCAUGAUGCAUUUUUGCAUAGAAACACAUAGGAAAAGUAUGUUAUGACUUUUCUGACAAGCCAAUAUUUUGCCAGCCCUGUUGCAAACUUAGCAGUACUGAUACUUUCUAGAACCACCUUCUUAGUAACUUUCACAAUUAUUCAUGACCAUGAUUGGGCAAAUUACAUAUUGUAGGUUCUAUGAUUAUACCAAGUUGUGUGUACUUGUAUGGGAGUUAAACCUGACUUAUGCUACUCUCUUCUGAUCCAUUUUAUAUACUGAUUCUGGUAAUAGGUAAAAGGCCAAAAUUAUUGAUUCUUCCUGCAAGUUCUUUUUUUUUAAUUAUUUAUUUACUUUCUAUUUUGUUGCCCUUGUUGGUUUUUAUUGUUGUUGUAGUUAUUAUUGUUGUCAUCAUUGUUAGAUAGGACAGAGAGAAAUGGAGAAAGGAGGGGAAGACAGAGAGGGUAAGAGAAAGACACCUGCAGACCUGCUUCACCGCCUGUGAAGCGAUGCCCCUGCAGGUGGGGAGCUGGAGGCUCCAACCAGGAUCCUUAAGCUGGUCGUUGUGCUUCAUGCCACAUGUGCUUAACCUGCUGCGCUACUGCCCGACUCACCCUCCAAGUUCUUUUAACUGCCCUAUAUACCCUUCAAUUUAUAUAUUAUUUCCAUUUUAUUUUCUUCCUUGGCCUUGAUCCACAUAGAUAUACACAUAUACACACAGUCUUGGGGAGUAUGUGUGUGUGUGUUUUAGUAGACAUAUCUGAAUAAUUUUAUAGUAAGAAUUUAGGUCAGAGCCAACAUGAACAACUGCCAAGAAAAACAUACCCAGCAAUGAAUAACUCAUAAAGAUUUGUUAGGAAAAAAAAUAAAAGUACACAAUGAAGUGUAUUACCUGGGUUUUAACUUUCCGGUGUGAUAUCCUAUUAAAUUCACACACUUCAAAUGGAUUCAAGGCUUCUGGUCAUUGUUUCUUUGUAAUUUAAUAUGUCAUUUUCAGGAGCAGCUGAGGUAAAAUGAAAAGAGCAGUGAAAUACCUAGGUUUAAACGUUUACUCUGCCAAACAUUUACUAAAUGUGUGACCUCACUUUUCUAAGGGGUUGGUUCUCCCCUCCCCCCACGGUGGAGGUAAUGAUAUGAAAGUGUAUUGUUGAAAGGCUGAAGUGAGAAAAUAUCUGCAGCAAUAUCUACUCCAGGUCUUGGCAUGCCUGUUUCCCUCCUUCCUUCCAGGGCCAGUUUAUCAUGAACUGUACCAUGGCUUUCAAUUACAUAAUCCUUUUCAAUAAUUCUGAAAGUGUAAACCAACUGUCUUUGAAACAGAGAUGCCAUCAAGUAACCUAGUGUAGGGAACCUUGUUAUUUUAGUUUCAUCUCUCCUACUUUACCUGUGGCUGCCUAUUUUGUGUUGGUGUGGUGAAGAGAGGGAAAAAAAAAAAAAACCUUUCCAAUAUCAUCUCUGCAGAAUCUAGCUUACAGUAACUCCAUGACUUUUUUGUGCUACAGACUAUAGCAAAUGGUAGUUUUGUGGACUUAAUGUAGAUUUUGUAUUUUUAUUAUUAUUUUAUUUAUUUAUUGGAUAUAUAUAUAUAUAUAGAGAGAGAGAGAGUGAGAGGGAGAGAGAAAUUGGUAGGGGAAGUAGAGGGGGGGCAUAUAGUGCUGCUAUCAUCUCUCAUGCAGCUUUUCUUUUACAAGUGGUAGGGGGCUGGGGUUCUUUCACAUUGUAAUGUGCAAUUUUUUUUUUUUUUUUUACCAGAGCACUAGUCAGCUCUGGUUUAUGAAGGUGUGGGUGACUGAAUCUAGGACCUUGAAGCCUCAGGCAUAACCAUUAUGCUAUCUACCCCCACCCGUGCACUCUUAAUGGUUGUACCACUGCCCAGCCUAGUAUUUCCUAUAGAUUAAGAGUUCUUCCAGAAAGAAAAAGAAAAAAAAUAGUCUGUUUCUCUGAAUUGGUUAAAUAAGUUAAUUAAACUACCCAAUCUCAUCAAAUAAAGGGCCCAUCCACAUUCUUACUUCCUAUGUGAAGAUGAUAUGAUUCAUUCUUUUUUGGUAAAUAUUUUAUUUAUUUAUCAAUGAGAGGGAUAGGAAGAGAGGGAGAAAGAACCAAAUAUCACUCUGGUACAUGUGCUGCCAGGGAUUGAACUCAGGACCUCAUGCUUGAGAGUCCAGUGCUUUAUCCACUGCUCAAUCUCCUGGACCACUGAUUCAUUCUUCAGCUGAAUUGUAAUCUAUGGUAUCCCUGUUAAUAGUUCUUCAAACUUACUCUUUUGAAAACUUGACCAUUUCCAGUUGGCUUGGGUGCCCUAUGAGUAGAAAAUUAGCAAUAAAUGAAUAAGAAAGAAAGAAAGAAAAA
Molecule: long non-coding RNA, 2514 nt
Organism: Erinaceus europaeus (western European hedgehog)
Lineage: Eukaryota; Metazoa; Chordata; Mammalia; Eulipotyphla; Erinaceidae
Exons: 2
Source: RefSeq, a predicted model, not a curated record